Long non-coding RNA from Electrophorus electricus (electric eel), 313 nucleotides. Lineage: Eukaryota; Metazoa; Chordata; Actinopteri; Gymnotiformes; Gymnotidae. The record is from Ensembl.
CGGAAUACUCCGAUGCUCCAGAAUCAUGAGCGAGGCCAUAGACUCUGACCAUCACCUCCAUGGUGAUGAGAAGACGUCUUCAGGCUGCGCAGACCCGUCCACCUCUGAGCACAAGAUCUACACCAUCCACAGCACCGCGCACACACACAAUGCAGGGAAACCAGAGCCUCUCAUGCUAAAGCUUGAUGAGAGGCAGAGACUGGCCCGAGAGAGGAGGGAGGAGAAGGAGCGACAGAUAGGUAUCACGCACGCACGCACGCACACAGAACUUCUAAAUGACUAGAAAAUAAAGUUUCCCUCCCGAGGUUCACUU